This is a long non-coding RNA of Tyto alba (common barn owl), 1529 nucleotides long. RefSeq lists it as uncharacterized. The transcript has 6 exons. The record is from RefSeq and is a predicted model, not a curated record. Lineage: Eukaryota; Metazoa; Chordata; Aves; Strigiformes; Tytonidae.
GCUCAUCCAACAGUUCAGCCUUGCCGUAGCUGGAGCGGGGGGACGCUGCGUGGCCAUCGGCAGGGGCAGGGCGUUCGCUUCGUGGGCUGGGGAGGGAUCCUUGGCUCCUCACCAGUCUUCCCAGUCCUGCCCUUGCGGAGGCCCCCGAUACCAGAGAGAAAAUGCUGAUGACAUCCACCGGUUGUUAUUCCGAUGUUAAUAUACUAGUAAUACGCAAUGUCCUUUCUGACUGGUAGGCGGAUGGUCCAGCAGCUUGUGACACUGCCAGACACACUGCGGAAGCUUUGGCUUCCGUUGUCCUUCCUGGUCUUCUCGGCUGACAUCUCCAGCUCUAACUUGGUUUCCUCAUUUGUUGUUUUUUUCCCCCUCUUCUGAAUUAAGGCAGUAAUGCUGAAUUCACUGUAAUUCAUUAUAUUUUCAUGUCUGUGUACAUGAGUUCCUUGAACAACCAGCGUUUUCUUAAAGAAACCUUAAAAAUGCUCUCUUCUUUGCUCACAAGGAUUGAAACCUUGAGAGGGGUCACCUGGAGCCCAAGACCGUGUCCCAUCAGGAGCUGAAUAUCUUCGGGGAUGGAAGAUCUGUGCAGCCCCUCUGGACAACCUGUGCCGCUGUCUGAGCAAGUUCACGGUAAAAGCGUUUUCUUGUGGAAUUUGAGGUUUCUCCUUUGUGCCUGUUCCCUCGUGUCCUACCAGCAGGCUCUGCAGAGAAAAGCCAGGCUCCCUCGUCCCCAGUCCCUCCCUUCAGGCAUCCGUAGCGUUCGGUGUGGUCCCCCCCGAGCCCCCUCCAGGCUGAACAGACCCCGCUCCCUCGGCCUGUCCUCAGACGUGAGAUGCUCCAGCCCCUCCAUCGCACUGACGUCUGCCAGCUCCCUCUGUGCUCACGCGUCCGGCUCCCCCAGCCCGUGAACGGCCACGCUGUUUAAAUGUGCCCUGACUACGCCUCUCCUGAUACGGACCUCUCCCCUGGCCCCAGAGUAUCGCUGGAUGACACGGGCACUACGUGGACGCUGUUGAUGCCUUUCUCUUCAUCUGGCCCAGUUCGUGUCUGACGUACAACACCGUUGGGCAAGGGAAACACAGCGUAUCAUAAACAGGGGAAGUUACACCUGGCACCAGAAUUCAAACAGAAAGUUGUGGAAAAAAAAAAAAAGGAAAAAAAUAACACAAACCAACUUGGAGAACUUAAUUCAUGACUUGCAGUGUGGGAUUCAACAGUGGACUACGCCGUGUCGUGCAACCACAGCUGCUUGUACUCCCACGCUGAGAAACCAGAGGCAGAGCAGCCCUACCAGCUGGCCCUCCUUAACCUCCCCAGAACCUGCUCCAAGGGCCACCAGAAAUGAAGAGCUACGGCUUUGUGAAGACAGAGGUAUGUCUGUACACGUGGGAACGUGGGGCAUUUCCAGAUUGCCACGUAACUACCAGGUCACUUCUGGAUGUGUUGAACACUACAGACACCGACAGAAAAUACUGCCCUUGUGACUUCUGGUCAUUCUGUUCUGUUCUCUCUUCUAGCUUUAGCUGCAAGAA